AGUCGAACGGAAAGGCCCUGCUUGCAGGGUACUCGAGUGGCGAACGGGUGAGUAACACGUGGGUGAUCUGCCCUGCACUUCGGGAUAAGCUUGGGAAACUGGGUCUAAUACCGGAUAGGAACCAUCUUUAGUGUGGUGGUUGGAAAGUUUUUUCGGUGUAGGAUGAGCUCGCGGCCUAUCAGCUUGUUGGUGGGGUAAUGGCCUACCAAGGCGGCGACGGGUAGCCGGCCUGAGAGGGUGUACGGCCACAUUGGGACUGAGAUACGGCCCAGACUCCUACGGGAGGCAGCAGUGGGGAAUAUUGCACAAUGGGCGCAAGCCUGAUGCAGCGACGCCGCGUGGGGGAUGAAGGCCUUCGGGUUGUAAACUCCUUUCGCUAGGGACGAAGCUUUUUGUGACGGUACCUAGAUAAGAAGCACCGGCUAACUACGUGCCAGCAGCCGCGGUAAUACGUAGGGUGCGAGCGUUGUCCGGAAUUACCUGGGCGUAAAGGGCUCGUAGGUGGUUUGUCGCGUCGUCUGUGAAAUUCUGGGGCUUAACUCCGGGCGUGCAGGCGAUACGGGCAUAACUUGAGUGCUGUAGGGGUAACUGGAAUUCCUGGUGUAGCGGUGAAAUGCGCAGAUAUCAGGAGGAACACCGAUGGCGAAGGCAGGUUACUGGGCAG
RNAcentral lists this ribosomal RNA (664 nucleotides) under uncultured Actinomycetales bacterium. RNAcentral's name for it is "bacterial SSU rRNA". It matches the Rfam family "Bacterial small subunit ribosomal RNA", at positions 60 to 736 of the family's 1533-position model. The record is from RNAcentral. Lineage: Bacteria; Bacillati; Actinomycetota; Actinomycetes; Actinomycetales.